RNAcentral lists this ribosomal RNA (493 nucleotides) under uncultured bacterium. RNAcentral describes it as "partial 16S ribosomal RNA". It matches the Rfam family "Bacterial small subunit ribosomal RNA", at positions 28 to 506 of the family's 1533-position model. The record is from RNAcentral.
GACGAACGCUGGCGGCGUGCUUAACACAUGCAAGUCGAACGGUGAAGCGCCUUCCUUUUUGGUGGGUGUGGAUGAGUGGCGAACGGGUGAGUAACACGUGAGUAACCUGCCCCCUUCUUCUGGAUAACCGCAUGAAAGUGUGGCUAAUACGGGAUAUUCUGGGUCUGUCGCAUGAUGGGUCUGGGAUAGAUAUUGUUUCGGUGGGGGAUGGGCUCGCGGCCUAUCAGCUUGUUGGUGGGGUGAUGGCCUACCAAGGCGGUGACGGGUAGCCGGCCUGAGAGGGUGGACGGUCACACUGGGACUGAGACACGGCCCAGACUCCUACGGGAGGCAGCAGUGGGGAAUAUUGCACAAUGGGCGCAAGCCUGAUGCAGCGACGCCGCGUGAGGGAUGGAGGCCUUCGGGUUGUGAACCUCUUUCGCCAGUGAAGCAGGCCUGCCUCGUUUGUGGGUGGGUUGACGGUAGCUGGAUAAGAAGCGCCGGCUAACUACGU